AGAGUUUGAUCAUGGCUCAGAGCGAACGCUGGCGGCGUGCUUAACACAUGCAAGUCGAACGCGCAGCAUUCUGUAGCAAUACAGGGUGUGGGCGCGUGGCGAACGGGUGCGUAACACGUGGAUAACCUUCCUUCAGGUGGGGAAUAACCCAGUGAAAAUUGGGCUAAUACCGCAUAACAAGACGAUGGCACAUGCUGUUGUCUUCAAAGCCGCAAGGCGCCAGAAGAGGGAUCCGCGGCCGAUUAGCUUGUUGGCGAGGUAAUGGCUCACCAAGGCAUUGAUCGGUAGCCGGACUGAGAGGUUGGCCGGCCACACUGGAACUGAGACACGGUCCAGACUCCUACGGGAGGCAGCAGUGGGGAAUCUUGCACAAUGGACGAAAGUCUGAUGCAGCAGCGCCGCGUGGGGGAUGAAGCUUCUCGGAGUGUAAACCCCUUUCGACCCGGAAGAAUGCCCGCAAGGGUUUGACGGUACGGGUAUAAGAAGCCCCGGCUAACUACGUGCCAGCAGCCGCGGUAAUACGUAGGGGGCCAGCGUUGCUCGGAAUUACUGGGCGUAAAGGGUCCGUAGGCGGUGUGGUAAGUCGGGAGUGAAAUCUCUGGGCUUAACCCAGAGGCUGCUUCCGAAACUGCCGUGCUAGAGUGUGAGAGAGGCGAGUGGAAUUACGGGUGUAGCGGUGAAAUGCGUAGAUAUCCGUAGGAACAUCCGAGGCGAAAGGCGGCUCGCUGGAUCACAACUGACGCUGAGGGACGAAAGCUAGGGGAGCAAACAGGAUUAGAUACCCUGGNAGUCCUAGCCCUAAACCAUCAGGACUUGGGGUUUGCCCUGUACGGGGCAAGUCCCGUAGCUAACGCGUUANUCCUGCGCCUGGGGAGUACGGUCGCANACUGAAACUCAAAGGNAUUGACGGGGGCC
RNAcentral lists this ribosomal RNA (915 nucleotides) under uncultured bacterium. RNAcentral describes it as "bacterial SSU rRNA". It matches the Rfam family "Bacterial small subunit ribosomal RNA", at positions 8 to 921 of the family's 1533-position model. The record is from RNAcentral.